Long non-coding RNA from Cucumis sativus (cucumber), 1664 nucleotides. RefSeq lists it as uncharacterized. The transcript is spliced from 2 exons. The record is from RefSeq and is a predicted model, not a curated record. Lineage: Eukaryota; Viridiplantae; Streptophyta; Magnoliopsida; Cucurbitales; Cucurbitaceae.
AUGACAGUUGUAUACAUCCCAAAUUGAAAGGAGAAAAAAAAAACUGUCAUGAAAGCUAAAAAUUCGAGUUUUUAGGGGGAAAAGACGAAGUUUUUCGUAUUUCACUUUUCGUGACAGUUAUUUGGUGUCAUAAAAGAUACAAAAAAUAAUUUAUUUAAUUUAUUAAAAUAAAAUUCAUUUUAAAUCAAAAGUUUAUUAAAAUAAGAUUUUUCCCUUCCCCUACCUCCUCAUCUUCUUCUUCUUCUUCUCUUCUUCUUUUUUUCUUCUUCUUUAUGGAAGAUCCACGCGUCACCCCUCAUUCUCGAUUUUUCCUCCCCUCCGCUAACCAUCUCUCUCCCUCUCUCACGCACGUCGGGAACAACACGCCAGAAAUCCUCCUAUUUCUCUCCUUCAGCCGACGCCACCACCCAACACCCCUUGCAUCGCUGAUCUCACCGUGUCAGACGGCGAGUCAAGUGUGGGAAAGAGGUCAAUAGAAGGAUCGAUGAAGAAUGGGUGAGGACUUGAAAGAAAUUCAUGGAAUGAAGAGAGACUAGAAAACAGAGGAUGUUCCCAAAAGGUAACGUGACGAGAUAUACGUAAUCGUUGAGAGAUGAGGUCCCAACAACGAAAUCCUUUAUGUUCAGUACCAUAACCCAAGAAGCAACAUAGACGUGCACGUGGUUCAAGUUUGGUAUGUUCAUGAGGAUGUAAUAAUACGAAACAUGCACAACAAAAAAUCUUGAGAUUGAAGUAAGAGGGGGAAGUACCGUAUAGUCGUUCAAAUGGGGAAACAUUGUGAGUGACUUUUGAAGAAAGACGAUUAAAGAUAUAGACAGAGGUGAGGGCAACCUCGCCCCAGAAUUUUUUUGGAUAAGCAGCAGAUAGAAGCUGAGCGCGAACAGAGUCAAGAAUGUGACGAUGUUUGCGUUCAACUCUUCUAUUUUGCUGAGAUGUGUGAGGACAUGAGCGUUGAAUUAGAGUACCUUGAUGGGCAAGAAACUCCAUAACUUUCGACCUAUCAAAAAACUCCUCAUUUGGUGGGUCCAAAUAAUAUAAUUUGUUCCAUCAAGAAUGGUGCUGAUGAGACGAGCAACUUCAUGUUUCUCCAUCUAAGAAAUUUAGCCACACACAACUGCCCAAACAAAGUUUCAAAAGUCCACAACUAACUUCCUAAUAGAAACAAGAUCAGAAAUAAUAUAUGAACACAGUAAGUGAGGGCGUGCUAAUCCACAGGAUGUAUGAAGAACCCAUGGCUGAAGAACCAAAUAUAAAAUAUAAAAUUCAGCGUGAAAAGAAACAAAUUUGGAUGAAGAACCCAUGGCUGAAGGUGAUGAGUUAGCCGACGAUGAGAUCCAGAGACCAAACAGAGAUGGAAUCGUGAUAAUCAAAGAAUUAAGUUUGAGAGUUAUACUCCUUUUACACCCAUUUAUACUAUCCACAAUAACAACAUCAUAUAUGUGUGUAGAAUAUCUUGAUUCCUAUGCUUUCACUAGAUAAUAGAAUAUCUCUUCCAAUCCAAUGCUCCCUUUCAAAUUUCCAUGGAAGUUGUUGCUUUUUCUAGCUUUGUUUUGAGAAACUCCCUCUAAUUACUAGAAAAAUCAUGGUGAUUUCUGAGUUUUGACUAAACAUAUUUGGAAACAAGAAAAUAUAAUAAGUAUUAAGCAAAAAUCUCUUUCAUUCAA